RNA transcript from Musa acuminata AAA Group (dessert banana), 3188 nucleotides. It is a transcript of the gene named serine/threonine-protein kinase EDR1, with no coding region annotated. The transcript is spliced from 20 exons. The record is from RefSeq and is a predicted model, not a curated record. Lineage: Eukaryota; Viridiplantae; Streptophyta; Magnoliopsida; Zingiberales; Musaceae.
UUCGUUCAUUUCCCCUCACACUUUUGUUCUCCAUCUUCCUCACUUUCUCGCCCCCGUAUUGAUGCUCUAGAUCUCUUCGAUUUCCUGUUCUUAUCAGUAUUCGGGCUCCUGAUUACGAUCGGCGUGUCGGUCGGUAGAUUCAGAUCCGCGAUCGCUACCGGACUCUUCGACCGCUUUUUGAGUCCUUGACGGUUAUUCGAAUUCGGUGAAGAUGAACGGAUUCGUCCGCCGGCGAUGGAUCGAUUGAAGACAUUAGGAACGAUGGAGGAAGGAAAUUUAAAAGAAAAUUACUCUGAUCUUAUUGGUGAUUCAACACGUUCUGAACCAGUGGCUUCUAAUGCUGCUUGGUGGCACUCAGAUAUUGCAGAAAAUUUAAAGUCUGUUUCUUUGGCUCCACGAGGAGAAACUUUGACUACUGGAGGGUUUCCAUGUGAUGUAUGGCAAGCUGAAUACUCAUCUCAGGCUGCUUCUCAAAUAUUGUGGUCCACUGGAACUUAUUCAGGAUUGAUACCGAAUGGCUUCUAUUCUAUCAUUCCAGAUAAGAAACUUAAGGAGCUUUUUGACACUAUUCCAUCUCCCGAUGGGCUUUAUUCUCUUGGUAUGGAAGGGUCUAAGGCUGACAUAAUUCUUGUAGAUGCAGAAAAGGACAAGAAACUCUGCAUGUUGAAGCAGUUAAGUGCGGCCAUGGUGAAAGGACUAUAUGCGAAUCCUGCUUUAAUAAUAAAAAAGAUUGCUGGCUUGGUCUUUGACUUCUAUAAGCGUCCAAAUUCAGAUCUGAGUCCUGCAAAAGCUGCAGUAGAAGAUGUUUCUCAUUUGAUGGAUAAUAGAGGCAUCCAACUGCUUGGACAGAUUAGGCAGGGAUCAUGCCGGCCUCGAGCAAUUUUGUUUAAAGUUCUAGCAGAUGCUGUUGGUCUUGAGAGCAAACUUGUGGUGGGUCUACCUAAUGAUGGUGGUGUCAAAUGCAUAGACUCAUUCAAGCAUAUGUCUGUGGUAGUUGUGCUGAAUUCUGUGGAGCUACUUGUGGAUCUUAUGCGCUAUCCUGGACAGUUGAUUCCAUUUUCAACCAAGGCGAUAUUUAUAUCCCAUAUUUCUGCAGCAGGGGAGAGCGACUCUGCUGAGUAUGACUCUUGUGAUUCUCCUCUCGAACCCAACAGUCCAUUAUAUGGGCUCUCAGACAAAGUGGAAGCUGCAGGUUCAGAGCACAAUGAAACUCUCCAAUCUUUGUAUCAGCGGAGAGCUGACCCAUCAUCUAGCCUGCUUGAUCAUUCACUGCGUAGGGUCAUGCUGAGAUCAACAACUUUUGCUGAGGGAAAUUUAAGUGAACCAGACAUUGCAAAUGCUUUUUGGAGGCGCAGCAGGAGGAAAGUUGUUGCUGGACGUACAGCUAGUUCAAGCCCAGAGCAUCCUCUAUGUAGAACACGAGGACGGUCCAUGCUUGGUAGCGAUAGACAGUCAUUUAGAGAAUAUGCAGAUGGUGUAACCAUUUCAAGGUCAGAUGGUGCUUCAACAUCUGAUGCUCGUAGAAUGCGGAGAAGAAGCAUUAGCAUUACACCCAAAAUUGGGGAUGAUAUUGUGAGGACUGUUCGAGCAAUGAAUGAAACUUUAAAACAAAAACGUUUCCUGAGAGAUCAUGUUGUUGAAGCUUCAGGUUCAUUCUCUAUGAAUGAUAAACACAGGUUGAAUGAUCCAUCAAGUAAUGAUGAAGCAUCUGGAAGACUUUCUAGUACAUGUAAUAAUUUCAGAAAGCAAACAGGUUCGACUCAGAAGGCUAUAUCAUUGCCUUCAUCUCCUCAUGUAUAUAGGGGUGAAACUUCAGAUAUAAGUGGGGAUUUUCUAAGAACAGAAGUCAUGGAGUCAAAAUGGAACAAAAUUUUGCAGUCAUCUUCCCUUCUGAAUAAGCCUUUGCUACCCUUUGAUGAAUGGAACAUUGUAUUCUCAGAGUUAACUGUUGGGACACGUGUUGGAAUAGGAUUCUUUGGGGAAGUUUUCCGUGGCAUAUGGAAUGGUACUGAUGUUGCAAUAAAAGUGUUUCUAGAACAAGAUAUGACAACUGAGAACAUGGAAGACUUUUGCAAUGAGAUAUCCAUACUAAGCCGUCUUCGGCAUCCUAAUGGUAAUGAUUUUCUACUGCCAGAUAGUGAUUUGGGAGUUAUAUUAUUUCUUGGUGCAUGCAUGAAGCCUCCACACCUGUCAUUGAUUACAGAAUACAUGGAGAUGGGAUCUUUAUAUUAUCUUAUACAUACGAGUGGUCAGAAAAAGAGACUAAGUUGGCGUAAGAGAUUAAAGAUGCUUCGUGAUAUUUGCAGGGGGCUGAUGUGCAUACAUCGUAUGAAAAUAGUACAUCGUGAUCUAAAAAGUGCAAAUUGUCUUGUGGAUAAACAUUGGACAGUUAAGAUUUGUGAUUUUGGUCUUUCGCGAGUAAUGAAAGCUGGUCCAAUGAGAGAUAACUCCUCUGCGGGAACCCCAGAAUGGAUGGCUCCUGAACUCAUACGCAAUGAACCAUUUACAGAGAAAUGCGAUAUAUUUAGCCUCGGAGUCAUAAUGUGGGAACUUUGCACUCUGAAUAGGCCAUGGGAAGGCAUGACACCUGUUCAGGUGGUGUAUGCCAUUGCUAAUGAAGGGAAAAGGUUGGUUAUACCUGAAGGUCCUCUCAGCAGCCUAAUUUCCGACUGCUGGGCAGAACCUGAUGAGCGACCAAGCUGUCAGGAAAUCCUCACCCGCCUGCUUGACUGCGAAUACUCUCUCUGCUGAUGUUUUAUGUUGACGGUGACAUGUUAUAGCUGGUUAUUUGAUCAUCUGUACAGAAACAGAGACAUCUUUCUCCCAGAGUGCGCCUCCUGUUCCCGUCCUAAACAAGGCUCACCUCCUUUGUAUGUAGAUUGGCCAGGUUCUUCCUUGGACGGUAUAAUUCAAAGAGGCCUGGCCUUGGCUUUAAAGAAGUUUGGGCUUUGACUGUAGAUGACUAUCAGAAAAAGAGUGUCGUCUUCAAGCUUCAACUUUAUAAAUCCCGGAUCGGACUGGGAAAUCAGAUUCUUGACAGAUUUGAUUACUAGUUAGACCAUUUGAUUCUUAAAAGAAAAAAAAAAAGCCCUUUAAUUUAUAAAAGUUAUCGAAGGGGUCAAGUCUAGACUCGACCAAAUCGGUAUUUGGUUCCAUUUUGGUUAGUUAUGCUUUCACCCCGUCGAUGC